RNAcentral lists this ribosomal RNA (918 nucleotides) under uncultured bacterium. Its description in RNAcentral is "bacterial SSU rRNA". It matches the Rfam family "Bacterial small subunit ribosomal RNA", at positions 33 to 942 of the family's 1533-position model. The record is from RNAcentral.
ACGCUGGCGGCAGGCUUAACACAUGCAAGUCGAACGGUAACAGGAAUUAGCUUGCUAAUUUGCUGACGAGUGGCGGACGGGUGAGUAAUGCUUGGGAAUCUGGCUUAUGGAGGGGGAUAACUACGGGAAACUGUAGCUAAUACCGCGUAAAAUCUUCGGAUUAAAGGGUGGGACUUUCGAGCCACCUGCCAUAAGAUGAGCCCAAGUGGGAUUAGGUAGUUGGUUAGGUAAAGGCUGACCAAGCCGACGAUCUCUAGCUGGUCUGAGAGGAUGACCAGCCACACUGGAACUGAGACACGGUCCAGACUCCUACGGGAGGCAGCAGUGGGGAAUAUUGCACAAUGGGGGGAACCCUGAUGCAGCCAUGCCGCGUGAAUGAAGAAGGCCUUCGGGUUGUAAAGUUCUUUCGGUGACGAGGAAGGUUGAUAGGUUAAUAGCCUAUCAAAUUGACGUUAAUCACAGAAGAAGCACCGGCUAACUCCGUGCCAGCAGCCGCGGUAAUACGGGGGGUGCGAGCGUUAAUCGGAAUAACUGGGCGUAAAGGGCACGCAGGCGGUGACUUAAGUGAGAUGUGAAAGCCCCGAGCUUAACUUGGGAAUUGCAUUUCAUACUGGGUCGCUAGAGUACUUUAGGGAGGGGUAGAAUUCCACGUGUAGCGGUGAAAUGCGUAGAGAUGUGGAGGAAUACCGAAGGCGAAGGCAGCCCCUUGGGAAUGUACUGUCGCUCAUGUGCGAAAGCGUGGGGAGCAAACAGGAUUAGAUACCCUGGUAGUCCACGCUGUAAACGAUGUCGAUUUGGGGAUUGGGCUUUGAGCUUGGUGCCCGUAGCUAACGUGAUAAAUCGACCGCCUGGGGAGUACGGCCGCAAGGUUAAAACUCAAAUGAAUUGACGGGGGCCCGCACAAGCGGUGGAGCAUGU